Molecule: RNA transcript, 3081 nt
Organism: Octopus sinensis (East Asian common octopus)
Lineage: Eukaryota; Metazoa; Mollusca; Cephalopoda; Octopoda; Octopodidae
Gene name: UDP-N-acetylglucosamine/UDP-glucose/GDP-mannose transporter
Exons: 12
Source: RefSeq, a predicted model, not a curated record
UCUUUCUCCCUCUCUCACUCUUAUCCCGUUUUAUAUUUCUUUUAACACCACAAUACAUUUCUCUCUCUUCGACGAUGGCUCCCGCCAGAAAGAAUUCUCUCCUCCUCUCACCAAGACAUAUAUCAUUCCACCGUUUCUAUUAUUAGUUUCUGUCCUCCCGCAACCACACACCAACCCCUUCAUCCCCUCCUGGUUCUUUCGGAUUUUCCAAAAUCUCAAAGACUUCGCCUUGUAUUCUUGGUGAAGUGUAAGGGAAAUAACUUGCAGCACAUCCGGCCCACAUAAUGUUGUGCAAGCUGGACUCACGCAAUUUUCGUUUCUUUUAAUUACUUCCGCACAACAACACAACCACAUCACAAACUUUAUUUAUUUCUUCUUUUCUGAUUCCCUUAUUCUCCCAGCUUCAAUAUGAACCAAGGUACAGGAGAGAAAAUGCCCGUUAGGUAUCGAAUAUUAUCGGCUUUAUUCUAUGGAUGCAGUUCCUUUUUAAUUAUUGUCGUUAAUAAGAUGAUAUUAACCAACUUCAAUUUCCCUUCAUUUCAAUUUCUUGCUAUUGGACAGAUGGUGGCAUGUCUUUUAGUCUUAUUUAUUGGCAAAGAAUUAAAUAUCGUUAUAUUUCCAGAGUUUACAUCUGAUAUUUUUCGAAAGGUGUGUCCUUUGCCAAUUGUCUAUGUGGUAAAUCUAUUGUUUGGAUUAGGCGGCACCAAAAAAUUGAAUUUGCCCAUGUUCACUGUGCUGAGAAGAUUUUCAAUUCUAUUUACCAUGAUUUUAGAAUAUUUUAUAUUAAAAACCAGAGCCCAAACAUAUGUGCAACUUACAGUAUUCUUGAUGAUAUUUGGUGCCCUAGUAGCAGCAAGCUCUGAUUUGGCCUUUGACCUUAUAGGUUAUAUUUUUAUAUUUUUAAAUGAUUUCUUCACCGCUUUGAAUGGUGUUUAUACAAAAAAGAAAUUAGAUGCAAAGGAACUUGGAAAGAAUGGUUUGCUGUUCUACAAUAGUUUAUUUAUGCUUAUUCCAGCGACAAUAAUUGCAAAGUUUACUGGAGGUUUAGAAGAUAUAAUUUCUUUCCCACAUUGGUCCGAUCCUGUAUUUAUUGCUUGUUUCUUAAUGUCUUGUAUUAUGGGUUUUAUUCUUAACUUCUCCAUUGUUCUCUGUACAUCUUAUAACUCUGCUCUAACAACAACUAUUGUUGGUGUGAUUAAGUGUCCUUGGCAGUCUAAUGUACACCUACAUGACAUUUCGAAGUGUACCAGAUGCAACAAAAUCUUCAAAUCAGUUACAACGAGCUUAGUUCCAUUUAGUUAUUUAUUUGAAGGAUGUUUGAUGUCGUUUGACUGAAUCCCAGAAAUUGGUUGGAUGUCUUCUGGAAACCAAUGGACUUGUGUUAAAUUGAAAAUAUUUGACACUCACUACAAUAUUUAUUGAGCAAAUUAUAUUUUUCUUUCUUUUAAUUAAUUAUGUGCAGUAUUUUAAACAACUUUUCACGGCUUGUAAAUAUCUUUUAUAUCGAUGGAAACUGUUAUCGAAGAUUUUCAGUUCUUCAUUUUUAAAAUAGAUGUGAAGAGAAGCUGAUUUCAGCUUUUCUUUAAAAUAUAAUUUCAAACCUAUUUUCACAAGUGAUAUGAAAGCAGGCCAUUCUAUGAGAUGAAAAUAAAUUCUAAAGACUCUUGAAAUGUGAGAUAUGUUGCGAGAAAGCCAUAUCAUGACAAAGAGAAAACAUUGUUGUAAUUGUAUGUUUGAGAUAUGGAGAGAGAAAAAAAAUGACAGCUCUGAACAUGUAUAAAAAUGACAUCACUGUGUGUGUGUGCUUGUAAAAACAACUCUGUUCAUAUCAUUUCUUAUCGUUACUUUAUGAAUAAAAGACUUUUUAUAUUCUAAGAAAAACAUUUUGCUGUGGGUUUACCAUCCUAUUUCAGUGUUGUUGGCUGUCGUUCCAGUUUGAUUAAUUCUGUGAUGGCAAUCAAAAGUUAGUACUUUCAUUAAUUCUGUUGCCAUUCAUGGGGACAAUUUUUGCAUCAAAUUUUCAUAUUGAUAGUCAACUGUAGACUUGGAUUUGUCGUCAUCGUCAUCAUCACUAUUGACUAAUAAGCUUCAUCAAUGUUACAAAUGUAUAGACCCGCUUUGAUAUUAUUUACUUUAUGGUUGCCCCAGCCUGGGCCUGGUUGCCGUGUUGGCUAAAAUAAACAAAGAACACCUCCCAGACGAAUCUAAAACUCUUCAAUUCCUAAACACUUGCUUAUUUUUCAUUUGUUUUAAUCUUUGUUUUGAGUUCUCAAGUUCCAUGCCAUAUUAGUUUCUUCUGUGAACAACCAAUAAAAUAUUGAUUUUUCAUUGAUUCCAAUGGACGGCUGAUUGAUCUGUAUGACAUGGUUCCAUGGUUGAAUGGUUAACAAGUUUACUUCACUCUCAUGUGGUCCCAAGUUCAAUCUCACUGUUCUCUACUCGGAGUAAUCCUCUUUAACAUCAGCCUCAGAUCAACCUGCAGAUGGAAACUGUUUGGAAGCUCUUUCAAUGGAUUUUAGCUGUAAUUCAAAGAUUCAACCUUGUCAGAUACUGUGUCACACUGAUCCUUUCAGAGGAUUGCGUUAAGAGUACAAACGUCUGUGGAAUACUCAACCAUUUACACAAAAACACAAUACGUAGGGAGCAGCUCAGUUGAUCAUUUGACUAUACUCUCAUCAUCAUAACCAAAACAACAUCAUCUUCCAUAGCUGCAUUAGUGUGUGUGUAUGUGUGUGUGAGUAGCGACUUUGAGACCUCAGCUUGCUAGCCUUCAUCCAACAAAAGCUACCAGACUGAAACUUUGCAGUUACUGUCGACCCUCCUUUUGUGAACAUGUAUUCUACAAAAAAGUAAACAAAUACCAGUUUGAAGUUAAUUCGUUUUUAUUGUCACUUGACAUUUAGAUAUAUCUAUCUAUAUUAUAUAGAUAUGUACACACACACACACACACACACAUAUACACCUGAUCUCAAAGAACAACAAAUGUUCUUCUCUCUCUUUUUUUCCUUUCUCCAUGGCAUAAUGAAUUAUAAAAUUAUCAGAACUGCUGAAAAUAAGGAAAUAAAUCUAUAUUUCAAUUUA